Vicia faba (fava bean) is the source of this 180-nucleotide non-coding RNA. NCBI's taxonomy places the organism in Eukaryota, Viridiplantae, Streptophyta, Magnoliopsida, Fabales, Fabaceae. The record is from the annotation of a GenBank genome assembly.
AAAAAAGAAGAAAUAAAAAAUAAAAAGAUGGAGCAAAACAAAGUCGUUUGGAGUGUGGCUAGGGUUCAAGCUGUGCAACAGCUCAACCUUCUUCUCUUCUUCUCUUACAAAAACAACGGAAUUGUUUCUCUUUCUCCGAUCUUCCAUGUAGCAAUUUCCGAUGGAAAAAUGCCACCAUGA